UACGUAGGGUGCAAGCGUUGUCCGGAAUUAUUGGGCGUAAAGAGCUCGUAGGCGGUCUGUCGCGUCUGCUGUGAAAACCUGGGGCUUAACCCCGGGCCUGCAGUGGGUACGGGCAGACUAGAGUGCGGUAGGGGAGACUGGAAUUCCUGGUGUAGCGGUGAAAUGCGCAGAUAUCAGGAGGAACACCGGUGGCGAAGGCGGGUCUCUGGGCUAUAACUGACGCUCAUGCACGAAAGCGUGGGGAGCAAACAGG
This 253-nucleotide ribosomal RNA is filed under the name uncultured bacterium. Its description in RNAcentral is "partial 16S ribosomal RNA". It matches the Rfam family "Bacterial small subunit ribosomal RNA", at positions 524 to 776 of the family's 1533-position model. The record is from RNAcentral.